Molecule: ribosomal RNA, 426 nt
Filed under: uncultured bacterium
Lineage: Bacteria
Description: bacterial SSU rRNA
Rfam family: Bacterial small subunit ribosomal RNA
Source: RNAcentral
GUGGGGAAUAUUGGACAAUGGGGGAAACCCUGAUCCAGCGACGCCGCGUGUGUGAAGAAGGCCUGCGGGUUGUAAAGCACUUUUAGUAGAGAUGAAAGACUUCGGGUUAAUAACCUGGGGUUCUGACCUAACCUACAGAAAAAGCACCGGCUAACUUCGUGCCAGCAGCCGCGGUAAUACGAAGGGUGCAAGCGUUACUCGGAAUUACUGGGCGUAAAGCGUGCGUAGGUGGUUCGUUAAGUCUGAUGUGAAAGCCCUGGGCUCAACCUGGGAAUGGCAUUGGAUACUGGCGAUCUAGAGUGCGGUAGAGGGCAGUGGAAUUCCCGGUGUAGCAGUGAAAUGCGUAGAGAUCGGGAGGAACAUCUGUGGCGAAGGCGACUGCCUGGACCAGCACUGACACUGAGGCACGAAAGCGUGGGGAGCAAA